UAUCUUUAGAAGUCACUUGAGGUAGAGCUGAGGCUGGUGGAAAAGAAAUUCCCUAGAAUGGGAAGAGAGUGAGGCAGUUUUGAGGUCUAGUCUGUGUAAGAGAGAAUUAACCAUCCAGUAUUAAUCAAUAGAUACCCUCAGAGGUAUCUCUCUUUUACAAGUCCUGUGGGAAAUCACCAUCAUAUGGGAAGAAUUGAGUAAGAGGGUGAUAGAAGAGAGGAAAAAAGACUGAAAUUACAAAAGAUAUAAGGAGAAAGAAAACUCCCUUAAAAACUUCAAACACAACCAGAGGUCAGUCAAAGUAGAGAGAAUUAUAGCAGCAUAGUAUAUGGCACCUUCAUACCACCAUCCAACACAGUGGAAGAAAGCUUCACUUAUGAAGAUAGAAUUAUCUGGCUUAACUAAUUUCAAAUGGAAGCAGGAAUAAUCAAGGGUAAGUAGAAAAAAAUUAAUGGUAAUGGUAAUUAUUACUGAAUAAUUUUACUUAAAAUUUAUAAAUGU
Molecule: long non-coding RNA, 501 nt
Filed under: Monodelphis domestica (gray short-tailed opossum)
Lineage: Eukaryota; Metazoa; Chordata; Mammalia; Didelphimorphia; Didelphidae
Description: lncRNA (ENSMODG00000030931.2)
Source: RNAcentral